AUUGAACGCUGGCGGCAGGCCUAACACAUGCAAGUCGAACGCGUGGCGGACGGGUGAGUAAUGUCUGGGAAACUGCCCGAUGGAGGGGGAUAACUACUGGAAACGGUAGCUAAUACCGCAUACCAUCGGAUGUGCCCAGAUGGGAUUAGCUAGUAGGUGGGGUAACGGCUCACCUAGGCGACGAUCCAUAGCGGGUCUGAGAGGAUGACCAGCCACACUGGAACAGAGAAACGGUCCAGACGCCGACGGGAGGCAGCAGUGGGGAAGAUUGAACAAGGGGCGCAAGCCGGAUAGAGACAUGCCGCGUGUAUGAAGAAGGCCUUCGGGUUGGAAAGUACUUGCAGCGAGGAGGCGUUACUCGCAGAAGAAGCACCGGCUAACUCCGUGCCAGCAGCCGCGGUAAUAC
RNAcentral lists this ribosomal RNA (406 nucleotides) under uncultured bacterium. RNAcentral describes it as "partial 16S ribosomal RNA". It matches the Rfam family "Bacterial small subunit ribosomal RNA", at positions 29 to 526 of the family's 1533-position model. The record is from RNAcentral.